CUCGGAAUCACUGGGCGUAAAGGGUGCGUAGGCGGGUCUUUAAGUCAGAGGUGAAAUCCUGGAGCUCAACUCCAGAACUGCCUUUGAUACUGAGGAUCUUGAGUACGGGAGAGGUGAGUGGAACUGCGAGUGUAGAGGUGAAAUUCGUAGAUAUUCGCAAGAACACCAGUGGCGAAGGCGGCUCACUGGCCCGUUACUGACGCUGAGGCACGAAAGCGUGGGGAGCAAACAGG
RNAcentral lists this ribosomal RNA (233 nucleotides) under uncultured bacterium. RNAcentral's name for it is "partial 16S ribosomal RNA". It matches the Rfam family "Bacterial small subunit ribosomal RNA", at positions 544 to 776 of the family's 1533-position model. The record is from RNAcentral.